AAAAAGGAGUAUCAAAGGAAGAAGGUGAGCAAAUAAUUGAGAAGAUGAAAGCUAUCGGGGCCAAAGUCGUGCUGGAAUGAAUGGAAGCCAUGUGUUUACCUUCAGGAAUUUUCUAAAUCCAGUUACUAUUUACUUCAGAAACUUCCAUUUCUCAUGUUUACCGAAUUUCAAUUGAGGAUUUGUUGGCCCUCGCUCCAUUACAGAGUCCAUCCACGAGCGCUUGAAGUUUGACAUUUUUAUAUACAAUGCUGGAUAGGUGUG
This 261-nucleotide long non-coding RNA is filed under the name Populus tremula. Its description in RNAcentral is "long non-coding RNA (PTRE_LNC002011)". The record is from RNAcentral. Lineage: Eukaryota; Viridiplantae; Streptophyta; Magnoliopsida; Malpighiales; Salicaceae.